AGUAACCCUAUGGAGUCUCUUUCUGUCGUGUGGAAGGUUUGUUCUUUCGCUUUUUGCAAUAACUCUUGCUGCUGUUUACUCUGGGCCCACACUGCCUUUAUAAGCUGUAACACUCGCUGCGAAGGUCUGCCGCUUCACUCCUGAAGCCAGUGAGACCACGAACCCACCGGGAUGAAUGAACAACUCAGAUGGGCCACCAUAAGAGCUGUAACACUCACCAUGAGGGUCUACAGCUUCACUCCUGGUCCAGCUAGACCACGAAUCCACCAGAAGGAAGAAACUCCAAACACAUCCGAACAUCAGAAGGAACAAAUUCCGGACAUGCUGCCUUUAAGAACUGUGACACUCACCACGAGGAUCCACGGCUUCAUUCUUUAAGUUAGACCAAGAACCCACCAAUUCCGGACACAUGUUGAGGAACCAAUGUCUCCAGCCAACAGCCAGUAAGGACCUGAGGCCUGACAACAAUCAGGGACUUUUCACAGUGCCUGGCAGAGUUUGGACACUACGUAUGUGCUGAAUAAUAUGUGAAAUUUUCUGAUGGGUGCCACGAAGUCAAAUAGAAGAUGACUUUGGGUAAGGAGAA
RNAcentral lists this long non-coding RNA (586 nucleotides) under Homo sapiens (human). RNAcentral's name for it is "HSALNT0381954". Lineage: Eukaryota; Metazoa; Chordata; Mammalia; Primates; Hominidae. The record is from RNAcentral.